UCUUUUCCUUCUUCUUCUUCCUGUUUCUUUUCCUUUUUCUCUUUUCUUUUUGGUAUCGAUACUUCAAAAUCUCUCAACGAUUGAAACCUUUUUCUAACUUUCCUAACUCAAAGUUAUAACUUAUAACUUUUUUAAUGAUAUUCGAUACGAUUUGUACGCAACUACAUCUAUACAUACAUAAAUGUAUACACCAAUGAGUCCUUUGAAAUAUACAACAUCACGAUUCUCAACAUUUUAUCAAACGACCAACGAACAAGAGUUCAAUGUAUUCAAUCAUGGUUUCUGAUAAUAUUACCAAACUAUCAAAUAAUGUAAUUAAUCACGCAAUGUAAUUCUCAAUUUCGACAAACUAUUUCACCUCUUCACUCCCUCCCUACCUCUCCUCCAAUUCCCUUUUUGUCUACCUUUAUUUGGUAAAAUUAAUUGCAACAGAAUGAAGGCUACACUUAGCAAGGAUUCCACUCCAUUAGCUGGUCACUACUAUACGUAAUAACGUUCGAGAAGUAACCUUAAUGAGUUUCAACUUCGUGGGAAAACAUACGAAAAGAGAAACGGAUAAUGCAGAUAACGAUGGUUUGAGUUUUGUUUAUUAAUGGAAUAUUCCGAUAAAUGGUAAAAUCACAGUACAAUUUACGUAUACCGGAGAAACUUACCUUCACCCGUUAGUACAGACGAGAUGUUCCCUACAAGCACGACAAGCUCGUCGGUAAAGCAGAGGGGAUGAAACAGUCGGUACGAGGAUCACGUGGGUAAUGAAGAACUUGAACCCUAUUUUCUUAUAUUAGCUGUAGGAUCCAAUUUUUUGUACAACCCUCGAAAAUGUAAAUUAAACAAACAAAAGAAAACAAAUAAUAAUAAUAAGAGAAAAUAAAAGGAUUACAUCUCUUCGAUGCAAUUAUCUGAUUUUAUCAUUCGUAAACUGGAUAUUGGUAAAAAUAAAUAAGAAUAAUGACGACGAAUAUAUUUUAUUUCCUUUCAUUUUAUUCUCCAAUGAUAAGAGUCUUGUGUUUCUUAAUUGAUACGAAUAAUUAAAAAAAAUAGGAAAUUCCAAGAGGAGAAUCUUAAAUUUCAUUUCAUUAAUUAAAUCGUACCGCUCGAGAAUCAAACUCGUGCACACUUCCGGCCACGCAUUCUUUUUACGAUGAAUAAAAUUCGCAGGAAUCAGAAAAGAUAGGUGUGACAACGUCGAAUUAUGAUAGAUCAAAUAAAUGACAUGUAACAUAUAAUUAAUAUGUAAUACUAACUAUAUGUGCGUUUGAACAAUAAAAUCUGUGCUAUAGCUGAGAAAAA
RNAcentral lists this long non-coding RNA (1290 nucleotides) under Polistes fuscatus (common paper wasp). RNAcentral describes it as "uncharacterized LOC122525887". The record is from RNAcentral. Lineage: Eukaryota; Metazoa; Arthropoda; Insecta; Hymenoptera; Vespidae.